UGCGUAGGCGGCCAUGUAAGUGAGGUGUGAAAUCCCUCGGCUCAACCGAGGAACUGCGCUUCAUACUGCAUGGCUUGAGGGAGACAGGGGUAAGCGGAACUGAUGGUGGAGCGGUGAAAUGCGUUGAUAUCAUCAGGAACACCGGUGGCGAAAGCGGCUUACUGGGUCUCUUCUGACGCUGAGGUACGAAAGCUAGGGUAGCGAACGGGAUUAGAUACCCCGGUAGUCCUAGCUGUAAACGAUGAGCACUUAUCUGGGGAUCCUCCCAUAGGUUCCCGGAUGUAGCGAAAGUGUUAAGUGCUCCGCCUGGGGAGUAUGGUCGCAAGGCUGAA
Molecule: ribosomal RNA, 332 nt
Filed under: uncultured Planctomycetota bacterium
Lineage: Bacteria; Pseudomonadati; Planctomycetota
Description: bacterial SSU rRNA
Rfam family: Bacterial small subunit ribosomal RNA
Source: RNAcentral